AUUGAACGUUGGCGGCAUGCUUUACACAUGCAAGUCGAACGGUAACAGGUUAAGCUGACGAGUGGCGAACGGGUGAGUAAUGCAUCGGAACGUGCCCGGUCGUGGGGGAUAACGCAGCGAAAGCUGCGCUAAUACCGCAUACGAUCUGAGGAUGAAAGCGGGGGACCGUAAGGCUUCGCGCGAUCGGAGCGGCCGAUGUCAGAUUAGGUAGUUGGGGGGGUAAAGGCUCACCAAGCCAACGAUCUGUAGCUGGUCUGAGAGGACGACCAGCCACACUGGGACUGAGACACGGCCCAGACUCCUACGGGAGGCAGCAGUGGGGAAUUUUGGACAAUGGGCGAAAGCCUGAUCCAGCAAUGCCGCGUGCAGGAAGAAGGCCUUCGGGUUGUAAACUGCUUUUGUACGGAGCGAAAAGGUCUCCUCUAAUACAGGGGGCUCAUGACGGUACCGUAAGAAUAAGCACCGGCUAACUACGUGCCAGCCGCCGCCGUAA
This 493-nucleotide ribosomal RNA is filed under the name uncultured bacterium. Its description in RNAcentral is "partial 16S ribosomal RNA". It matches the Rfam family "Bacterial small subunit ribosomal RNA", at positions 30 to 523 of the family's 1533-position model. The record is from RNAcentral.